This 280-nucleotide ribosomal RNA is filed under the name Klenkia brasiliensis. Its description in RNAcentral is "partial 16S rRNA. Bacterial SSU". It matches the Rfam family "Bacterial small subunit ribosomal RNA", at positions 1 to 281 of the family's 1533-position model. The record is from RNAcentral. Lineage: Bacteria; Bacillati; Actinomycetota; Actinomycetes; Geodermatophilales; Geodermatophilaceae.
CAUCUACGGAGAGUUUGAUCCUGGCUCAGGACGAACGCUGGCGGCGUGCUUAACACAUGCAAGUCGAACGAUGAAGCCAGCUUGCUGGUGGAUUAGUGGCGAACGGGUGAGUAACACGUGGGCAACCUGCCCCCGGCUCUGGGAUAACUCCAAGAAAUUGGUGCUAAUACCGGAUAUUCACAUUUCUCCGCAUGGGGGUUUGUGGAAAGUUUUUCGGCUGGGGAUGGGCCCGCGGCCUAUCAGCUUGUUGGUGGGGUGAUGGCCUACCAAGGCGACGACG